GCUUUUAGAGGCUGCAGAUACUAUUUCCAUCUUCAAAGCCAGCAUUGGCUAGUCAUGUCCUGAUUCUUCUGCCUCUCUCUUUCCCUUUGAAGGACCCUUGUGUUUACAUUGUGACUACCUGGAUAAUACAGUACUCCAAGUACCUUAUCCAGAAAAAAAUCCUGAGAACUGUGCAAUAAGCACAUGACAACAUAAUAGAAAGCCAAAUGUAUUAGGGUUGGACCUAGAAGAAGCUGGACCAUAAGAGAAGCUAAAUGAGAAGCAGAAGCUGGCGUCAGAAUCUCUUCUUCCUUUCAAUCUUGAGAAAAUAUCUUUGAACUAAGUGUCUCUUCUCUUCCUCUUUUCCUUAUAUAGUUCCCUAAGGAGGCCACUCUGGAGACCUUCUAGACAUGUAAAAAGAGGAUAAUAAUAGUUCCUACCUUAUAAGGUUGUGUGAAGGUUAAAUGAGUUAAUGUGAGUAAAGCACUUACAACAGAUCUUGGCACACAGUAACUGUCAUGUAAGUAUCAGCUAUUAUCAUAAUUGCAGUGCCAUGCAGAUGAACCCUCUAGUUCAUCCUUAUAGUUAUAUGGACUUUAGGCAGAGAGGUGGCCGUGGAGAUGGGAGAAGCAAAGAGAAUUAGCCUUGAACAGGAGACUUGAGACUAUAAGUGGGGAACUUAAGUAUUGAGGUUUAUUAACUUGACAGGAAGUAGCUAAUUUAAAACAGUAUUAUUGAAAUUUCUUUGAGCUAUGCUUCAUGAAAAAGAAAUGUUGAGCAGACUGACAGUGAAAUAUUAAAAUUAUGCAUUUGGCUGAAAGGAAAAAAAAAAUGAUGGGACAUACUACCUCAUUAAGUAAAUGCAGCAAUUAAUUCUUUACUCAGUAAACUAGAUAAACAUUAAAAAUCCCUAUUUAUAUUUCAGACAGUGUCUAAAUGAUUUAGCUGAUAUUUCAAAGGGACACUGAAGCUCAAUAGGAAGUAAGAUGCCAAAUCAUUAGCGCAGGAGCAGUCAAUACCUCUGUCAGCAAUUGCGUUCUUGUUCAUUUUGGGCAUUGAGUUGCUAUUGUGUUCUGUGUUCUUAGGCUAACAAAAGGCGCAGAGUAUGCAUACCCAACACAGGUAGUGCCUGGUAAGGAGUGCUCAGUAAGCAUGCAUUAGAUAUAGAACGUUCACCUCCCUGACUGCAUUCGCCCAUUCCACAAAAGUCCCACCGUGUUUUAGGAGUCCUAUGUUCUCCAAAUUUUAUAAAAUUAGUACAUUGUUUACAAUCAGAAAAUAAGUCCCCUGGAACUUGGACGAGUGAGCACUGUAAUCAGCGUUCACCUGCGUUGGUUUUUCCUUCUACAUGUUUGUGUGCCUGGGUUCUUAUGAGCUCCUGCUGGCCUCCCUGUCUGCCAGUUCCAGGAGGCUUGCUGACCAGCUUAGCCUAUCAUGCUCUCUCAGAUCCUGCUGGCCGUGUCUCCUCUCUCCCAAGAGCUACGUGUAAAACAUGGUAUGUUCUGCACGCUUUAAUUUAGCCACAUUGAUUCCAUUGAUGUUUUGUCAGAUACCCUGAAGCCUGAGGCCUCAUCAGCCACACAGGACAGAUCAGAGAUGGGCCCUUUGACUUUUUGACCCUGAUUAUUCUUUCUUUUUAUUCUGGUUUUCUCUUGGCUUUACAGAAUGAUAUGGAAAAGGAGAUCUGGGGAAGGGGAAAGGAAGGGAACAAGAAGGAGGGAGUAGGAGGUCAGAGCUCACACAUACACAAGAACAAAAGGACUGCAAAUUGGGAUCUCUCCACAGCCACCUUCCCUUCUUCCCUUUGAAAAGUCGAUGCUGAACCAUCUGUCAUCUCUCAGGGACUCCAGCUCUAGGCUGGCUUGUACCAAGUGAGAGCUGCCUAGCCAGUCACUCAUCAGUCUCUCCUAGGGCUGCCUCUGUGCGUUCAUCCUGCCUUCCCCAGUUGGGACAUUCCACUGCCUUUGGGGCCUUCACUUCCCAAUUAUUUAUUAAGGAGACAGAAAAGAAUUGUUGAUAAAGGCCGUGGCUGGACAGCAGGAAGUAACCAUGGGCUGCUGCAGGGGUGGGCUCCUGCUUAGCAAAUGUUAGACCAGGUUUGUCUUGCUGCUGUUUUUAUUUUGUUUAGAUGCUUUUGACUGUUGUUAUUUCACACAUCCAAACAUGCUAUGUGCCCUAAUUGCAUUUCCUAGCACCUUUGACAAUUCUAAGAAUCUAUUAGUUUUUUACAUUCAAGCCUUGGUAUUAGAGGUUCCUACAAUAUUUGAGUCUGGUUUGUAUGCGAAGGUGGGUUGGGGUUGGGGAGUCUGUGAAUAAUAUAUGCAAUUUACAACUAUCUGUGAAACUGAAAAUAAAAUACAUUGUAUGUGCAUGUCUCUGUGUGUGGGGGGGCGGUGUGGGUGUGUGUAUGAGAGAGAGAGAGAGAGAGUAUGUCGGGGAAAAAGAGAGACUCGAUGUUUACAUUCUCUAUUUGGAAUUUAGAGUUUUAAGGGAAAGUUGGUCUCUUUAUCUAACCUGUCAACAUUAUAGAUGAUGCUGUAUAUUUAUAAAGAUAUUUGCAUAUCUUUUAUCAGAUGGAUGCUCUUAGUUGAUUUAGUAUUCCAGCUUUUAUUUGGAAGAUAAAUUAAUAUGGAAAAUGAACAUGAAAAGCUCAGGGAAUUUGACUCACUGCCAGUGCCAGGGGUCCUCUUGCACUGGCAUGUGUGACCUUCUGGAGUUAAUGCUGGAUGUAGUCAAAUUAGUGAAAUAGGCGCCUUCUCCAUUCUUUUUCUCUUUUGUACCACCCACCUUCAGGCUUAUCCUGUAUCCAAAUCCUCAAAGGUUUGUUCUGGUCUCUACUGUCUGCCAAUCAUCAUUUAAGAUGAAACCUUCCUUCUCUUAUGUUUUGAACAGACAUUCUUGAAGACCUAAAGUAUACAAAAUUAAAAAGAGUAGUGUCUUUAAGAAUUUCCACAAAAAAAAGCAAAACUGGUUGACAAAGUGCUUUUCAAAAAUCGAUACAUAUUAAUUCUACAUAUUUUGGGGGUACAUGUGAUAUUUUGAUACAUGUAUACCAUGCUUAAUGAUCAGAUCAGGGUAAUUGGGAUGGCUAUCAUUUCAAACACAUGUCUUUUCUUUAUGUUGAGAACAUUCCAAUUUUUCUCUUCUAGGUCUUUUGAGCUGUGCUUUGCAUUAUUAUUAAUUAUAGUCAC
This is a long non-coding RNA of Rhinopithecus roxellana (golden snub-nosed monkey), 3170 nucleotides long. RefSeq lists it as uncharacterized. The record is from RefSeq and is a predicted model, not a curated record. The transcript is spliced from 3 exons. NCBI's taxonomy places the organism in Eukaryota, Metazoa, Chordata, Mammalia, Primates, Cercopithecidae.